This 1106-nucleotide ribosomal RNA is filed under the name Mammaliicoccus sciuri. Its description in RNAcentral is "bacterial SSU rRNA". It matches the Rfam family "Bacterial small subunit ribosomal RNA", at positions 37 to 1152 of the family's 1533-position model. The record is from RNAcentral. Lineage: Bacteria; Bacillati; Bacillota; Bacilli; Caryophanales; Staphylococcaceae.
UGUGCGGGGGGUGCUAUACAUGCAAGUCGAGCGAACAGAUGAGAAGCUUGCUUCUCUGAUGUUAGCGGCGGACGGGUGAGUAACACGUGGGUAACCUACCUAUAAGACUGGGAUAACUCCGGGAAACCGGGGCUAAUACCGGAUAAUAUUUUGAACCGCAUGGUUCAAUAGUGAAAGACGGUUUCGGCUGUCACUUAUAGAUGGACCCGCGCCGUAUUAGCUAGUUGGUAAGGUAACGGCUUACCAAGGCGACGAUACGUAGCCGACCUGAGAGGGUGAUCGGCCACACUGGAACUGAGACACGGUCCAGACUCCUACGGGAGGCAGCAGUAGGGAAUCUUCCGCAAUGGGCGAAAGCCUGACGGAGCAACGCCGCGUGAGUGAUGAAGGUCUUCGGAUCGUAAAACUCUGUUGUUAGGGAAGAACAAAUUUGUUAGUAACUGAACAAGUCUUGACGGUACCUAACCAGAAAGCCACGGCUAACUACGUGCCAGCAGCCGCGGUAAUACGUAGGUGGCAAGCGUUAUCCGGAAUUAUUGGGCGUAAAGCGCGCGUAGGCGGUUUCUUAAGUCUGAUGUGAAAGCCCACGGCUCAACCGUGGAGGGUCAUUGGAAACUGGGAAACUUGAGUGCAGAAGAGGAGAGUGGAAUUCCAUGUGUAGCGGUGAAAUGCGCAGAGAUAUGGAGGAACACCAGUGGCGAAGGCGGCUCUCUGGUCUGUAACUGACGCUGAUGUGCGAAAGCGUGGGGAUCAAACAGGAUUAGAUACCCUGGUAGUCCACGCCGUAAACGAUGAGUGCUAAGUGUUAGGGGGUUUCCGCCCCUUAGUGCUGCAGCUAACGCAUUAAGCACUCCGCCUGGGGAGUACGACCGCAAGGUUGAAACUCAAAGGAAUUGACGGGGACCCGCACAAGCGGUGGAGCAUGUGGUUAAUUCGAAGCACGCGAAGACCUUACCAAUCUUGACUCCUUUGACCGUCUAGAGAAGAGCUUCCCUUCGGGGACAAGUGACAGGUGGUGAUGUUGCCUCAGUCGGGCCUGGAAUGUGGGUAAUCCGCACGAGGCACCCUUAGUUAUUGCCUCUUAAUUUGGCCUUAAGUGAUGCGGG